This 465-nucleotide ribosomal RNA is filed under the name uncultured bacterium. Its description in RNAcentral is "partial 16S ribosomal RNA". It matches the Rfam family "Bacterial small subunit ribosomal RNA", at positions 28 to 506 of the family's 1533-position model. The record is from RNAcentral.
GAUGAACGCUGGCGGCGUGCUUAACACAUGCAAGUCGAACGAUGAAGCCCAGCUUGCUGGGUGGAUUAGUGGCGAACGGGUGAGUAACACGUGAGUAACCUGCCCUUGACUCUGGGAUAAGCCUGGGAAACUGGGUCUAAUACUGGAUAUGACUUCUCAUCGCAUGGUGGGGGGUGGAAAGAUUUAUUGGUCUUGGAUGGACUCGCGGCCUAUCAGCUUGUUGGUGAGGUAAUGGCUCACCAAGGCGACGACGGGUAGCCGGCCUGAGAGGGGGACCGGCCACACUGGGACUGAGACACGGCCCAGACUCCUACGGGAGGCAGCAGUGGGGAAUAUUGCACAAUGGGCGCAAGCCUGAUGCAGCGACGCCGCGUGGGGGAUGACGGCCUUCGGGGUGUAAACCUCUUUCAGUAGGGAUGAAGCGAGAGUGACGGUACCUGCAGAAGAAGCGCCGGCUAACUACGU